Long non-coding RNA from Oxyura jamaicensis (ruddy duck), 2604 nucleotides. RefSeq lists it as uncharacterized. The transcript has 2 exons. NCBI's taxonomy places the organism in Eukaryota, Metazoa, Chordata, Aves, Anseriformes, Anatidae. The record is from RefSeq and is a predicted model, not a curated record.
CCUCUGGCUGGCCACGGGCGAUGCCUUGGGUCGGGGAGCAGGGAGGGAGGUGGUGGAAGGAGCCACGGGGGACACAGCUGUGGCUCGCAUUGCCUGGGGACCGGCGGAGCGCUGGUGCCCGCAGCGGCUGGGCAGGCGAGGAUGCUGCCGGAGGAUGCUCGGGCACCUGGUGCUGCCCUGCCUCCCCGUCCUGCCUCUCCAAGGUAAAUGCUCUGCCCGAGACAAAGUCUGAGGAGGGCUGGAGUUGGCAAGAGCGGUGGUUGGGAUGGUGUCCGAAAGCACUGCCUGCUGUCCGGGUGAUUUCCCCGGGUGGUUUACCCGAGGCAGCAACUUGCCUCAUGGGCUGGUUUCCCCUUGGCUCGAGCUGAUACAGCAUCAGAGGAACAAGGAGGAAAAAGAAACACUCUCUGUGUGAAUGCCCCGUGUUCGAGUUCCCAGUUUUGGUGUGUGAGGGAACACGUCCGUGCUGUGAGCACAGCUCGCGUUUUCCCUUAACGCUCCUGUUGGCUUUCCCCGAUACUUAUUUUUGUUUGCUGGCGCCGUCAGGUUGCUGUGGUGUUACCUUUCCAGUACGCUUCUCAGGUUUGUACAAAGAGCUGCCGGGAAAAUCGCUUCCUGGGAAUUACCUCCAGAACUGCGGUGCUGAUUAAGCUGUUUGCAGCCCACUUAAAUGCUGACCACCACCACAUUUCCUGCAGAGGGGAUGUACACAAAGUUUUCAGCAUGGGAAUGUGUUCCGUGCUGCGGGAGCCAGGCACUGAAUUAGAUCAGAGCAGUCUUGCACCGCGGAGCUGCCGAGGGCUAGAGGAAGGGGUUUGCAAUGCAUAGUGAACGUGGGUGGGAAAAUACUCCUGGGGAGGAGCGGUGGAGAAACUACAAUGCCAUUAAUACUGAUCAGAAUUUGCAGUUGGCUGCCUGUUUCCCCACCGAAAGUAGCCACGGGGCUUUGAGAGGGAUGGGUCAGGUUAGCACCAAAACACGAGGGCUGUGUGUUCUUGGGUGAACUUCAUUCGCCUUCCCGUUCUUGUAAAUUCCCCCUAAGGGGGGAGAAGACAGCAGCGCAGAUACUUUAUACACUUUUAAUGCCAUUCACUUUUGGGAAACUGAUGAUGGAGUGAUGAAAUGGUGCAGAAAAAACAGCAGAGGUACCAAGUGAUGAGAAAUCCAGCAGAGGUGUUAAGCUAAACUCACGCUCUUCAUGACCCAGGAGCUCUUUUGGCCGCCUUGUAGGGCAGGGUUAUAAGGACCCGGGUUGUGGCAGAGAAGAAGGCAGACCUGGCAGCUGUGCCUUUCAGGUCAUGCUGUUGUCUGGCAGAGCUUGGAGUAAUUUGAGCUAGUUUAAAGAUAUGAAAAGUCUUGAUUAUUUGUUCUGUUGUGCAGAGUGUGUGUUGUCAAGUUGUCAUAAAGCAAACACCAGGCGGUUGUUUGACGUGAGUGCGGCCUUUUUUUCCUUUUUUUCCAGUUACAGCAUUGGGCCUAAUAAAAGAUACAGCUCUCCCCAUAUUUCCUGGCCUUCCUAAAAUGCCUUUACAGCUUGUUUCAUAGGGGAGAGCAUACAUAACCCUCGUUCAUGCAAAAACCGCUCUGGCUCCGAGAUGCGGCUGUAUCUGGGGUGGUGUCUGGUGACUUCAGCAUUCCCUCGCAGUGCUACCUUUUAAGACAGGAGGUUAAAAAAAAAAAAAAAAAAAAAGCCAGCUAAGGGUGGGUGCUGAAGCUCUUUAACCUCGCAUCCGAUCCCAGGGAGAGCACCUGGCAGAGCGUGCUGCUGCCCCUCCGCGCCCGUGGUUCGGAGCUGAUUUACAGCAAAGUAUGCCAUCUGCUGAUUCUCCAGGACCGCUUCCUCCCAUGUCCUGCCUUUUCUCUUUCUCCCGUUGGGAUACUGACCGUGCCUGAUGCUCAGCUGGCUUUACAAAACCUGACAAGGUCACAUCCUGAGGGUAGCAGAAAUGGAUACCGAAAGAAAUGGAGGAAUGCAGCGUUUUAAUCAAGCCAGAUGCAGAGAAGAGAUUUGUACCAGAACGGGGAUCUUUCUAGGAAAGUCAGCAGUGUUGUCUGUGGUGUUCCCCGAUGGGUGAACAGCCCUGCCUUCAGAAGGUGCAGCGAGCCGCAGUGACGGUAUCCAAAAAUGAAGGGUCUCAUCGGAAGCCCAUUUGAGUGUUCCCUACUCUUAUCUGUGCAGGAUAGCUGAGGCUGGUGUUCGUAAUGAAAUGGGGGGGGAGGACACGGAUAAUGAGCAGAGUCAAAGAAAGGAGGAAAGAAAAAGGGGAAGUGAGCAAAAAAAUGUGGUUUUGGGCAGAUGUGCAUUUUUUUUCUUGUGGUGGAGGGCAACUAGUGUACGGCACCUCAGCAGGACACGGGGUAGCUGCUGUGGGUUCAUGGGGGAAGGCUCCCAGCUGAACACGUUGUGGGUGCUUUCGGUAAUCCCUGGUGCCCUGUGGGCUUACCUGGUGUGCACUCUGCUGGUGGAACACGUGUCAGCCUCUGCUGCACCUCCUACCAUGGAAGCAGUGUCCUGGGCAAAGGGUACAGGGAUGCGCUGAGCACAGGCUGGAAAGAAAAGCAACUUUUGGUUUUGUUCCUUCCCCACCAGGAAUAAAAUACACA